CGCGCGCCCGGGAGCAGCACCUGGCCGGCCCCGGCCGCGGGAGGAGGCCCCCAGCCCCUGCGCGCCACCCCGGGAAAGGGCGCCGCGCCUGGACCCGGCGCUCGCGAUGAAAGCCCGGCUCCCGCGCAGAGAAAUGGCUCUCUUCAUCCCCAAGUCCAAACCUCGGGGUAACCGUAGAGAUGGGCAACAGUGCCCCAGCCCCUCAGGAACCCAGUGCAAAGAAAGACAUGAAGCUCAACUGCCACCUCUGCCAAGAAAGAAAGCCUCUCGCUGACGCUCCCAGGAUUGGAGAGUGUUCUUAGGAGAACCAGCCCUUGCCAGGAGACAAGAAUGAUUUAUUUUGAAGACAACAUCUUCACACGUGUGUCCCUGCAUAUCCGGGACCCUGGCUGUGUGUCAGUUUCUUGCUCAGGGAAGCUGUCAUUGGGAUUCUGUGGGGGGAAAUGUUCCAAAUGAAUCAAUUAAUGCUGCCAGCAACAAGUUCAAUACCACUGCACUGAGUGCCCCUGCUUUACAUCAGUGCAUGAAUGAAUUAUUGGUGCUCAUAUAAUUUUCAGAUCAUCGUUAUAAUGCAGUAGAAAAUUUCUUCUGCCCAGGUAGCCUAGGUAGUAUCUAAGCAGAGAGCUGAAAUAACCUCCCCCCCUUAUACUCCCUAAAAUAAUUACUUACACAUAUAUGUGAGGUUUUACUUCCAGAUCUUUUAAUAUAAGACUCUCUAUGUGGACUCAAGGUCACCUCUUACACUCAUUAAACCAAUCUGAACAAAGUGUGAUAAUUCUUAAGGGAAAUCAACGCUGGAAAUGCUUUUGACUUUUUGGAGACAUGGGCAGAAUUCAUCAUCAGGUUAGACUCAGCAUGCAACAGUACUGAAAGCUCCACAUAGGGCAUCUCCCUGUCUGCUCUUGUUAUUCCUUUCUGCCACAUCUGGGGCAGUGUAUGUGUGUGUGUGUGUGUGUGUGUGUGGUGAUGGGGGGGGGCAGUAAGGAAUAGCUUUUAUAUAGGAGGAGGAAAGAGGAAGAGCAUCACAGGAAAAAAAAAAAUGUCUCUUCUGACCAUAUCUAAUUUGAUUCAAUUUUCUCCUUACCCCUGGCCUCUGGUGGGAUUUAAACAAACUCAAAAACACCACCCUCUUUGUUCUAAAUGAUUUGAAUAAGGUCAUCCAAUGGCAGGGGUGAGAAAUGAGAAAAAAAUGUACCUUAAUUUUGUAAUUUUUAUUUAUUUUAAUGUGUUAGGUGCCUGGAUAGAUCUUCAAGUAUAAAGCACCACUUCUAUCCUAUCCCCAUUUUUAAAACUACUUUCAAAUUCACUCUAAUCAAAUGCAUAAAGCAUUAUUUUUUAAAGAAUUGUGUCACGAAGAGCUUUGUGAUCAAUGUUGUAAUAGAGUAUAAUAAAACAGCUCAGGUAAGGACUUUUGGAUCAGCCUUCCUUCUAUGCAACUGUCUUAGGUGACUGAUUGAUGCUUGAGCUUCAAACUAAGGGCAUCAGAAUAAUAAUGGCCGCAUAGUGUGAUAAUGAUAAUUAGCACACAAAAGCACAGUUAAUUGCCCUGAAGGUUGUGACAUAGACUGACAAAGUAAACUAGAAGCCUCACACCCCAGCCAAGACUCCUUUAUAAACAUGGCUGUGAGACUCCCACUGAAUUUAAGCAUAAUGAAGUGGAAUUAGGAAUCAAUCACCUGUGCUACCCUCCACACUUUUUCCAGAUCUUAUUAAAUUCUUUACAUAAAAUGCAAAA
Molecule: long non-coding RNA, 1735 nt
Organism: Nyctereutes procyonoides (raccoon dog)
Lineage: Eukaryota; Metazoa; Chordata; Mammalia; Carnivora; Canidae
Exons: 3
Source: RefSeq, a predicted model, not a curated record